RNAcentral lists this unclassified non-coding RNA (395 nucleotides) under soil metagenome. RNAcentral's name for it is "partial contains 5.8S ribosomal RNA, internal transcribed spacer 2, and large subunit ribosomal RNA". The stretch from base 1 to 122 matches the Rfam family "5.8S ribosomal RNA", at positions 35 to 154 of the family's 154-position model. The record is from RNAcentral.
GAUGAAGAACGUAGCGAAAUGCGAUACUUGGUGUGAAUUGCAGAAUCCCGUGAACCAUCGAGUCUUUGAACGCAAGUUGCGCCUGAAGCCAUCAGGUUGAGGGCACGUCUGCCUGGGCGUCACAUAUCGUUGCCCAAUGCCUAUUGCAGUGCAAUAGGAAUUUCUAGGGCGAAUGAUGGCUUCCCGUGAGCGUUGUUGCCUCGCGGUUGGUUGAAAAUCGAGUCCUUGGUAGGGUGUGCCAUGGUAGAUGGUGGUCGAGUUAGAACGAUACCGAUCAUGUGCAUGCUCCCCAAAAUAUGGCCUCUAUGACCCACACGCGUCUUUUGACGCUCAUGACGAGACCUCAGGUCAGGCGGGGCUACCCGCUGAAUUUAAGCAUAUCAAUAAGCGGAGGA